RNAcentral lists this transfer RNA (76 nucleotides) under Pseudomonadota bacterium. Its description in RNAcentral is "tRNA-Thr". It matches the Rfam family "tRNA". From Rfam's summary of the family: Transfer RNA (tRNA) molecules are approximately 80 nucleotides in length. Their secondary structure includes four short double-helical elements and three loops (D, anti-codon, and T loops). RNAcentral also lists the same sequence under 1 other name. Lineage: Bacteria; Pseudomonadati; Pseudomonadota. The record is from RNAcentral.
GCCUGUUUAGCUCAGUUGGUAGAGCAACUGAUUUGUAAUCAGUAGGUCGGGAGUUCGAGUCUCUCAACAGGCACCA